Molecule: ribosomal RNA, 253 nt
Filed under: uncultured bacterium
Lineage: Bacteria
Description: partial 16S ribosomal RNA
Rfam family: Bacterial small subunit ribosomal RNA
Source: RNAcentral
CACGUAGGGUCCGAGCGUUGUCCGGAAUUACUGGGCGUAAAGCGCGCGCAGGCGGUUGGUCGCAUCGGCGGUGAAAGCCCCCCGCUUAACGGGGGAGGGUCCGUCGAGAUGGACUGACUGGAGGCAGGGAGAGGGCGGUGGAAUUCCGGGUGUAGUGGUGAAAUGCGUAGAGAUCCGGAGGAACACCAGUGGCGAAGGCGGCCGCCUGGACCUGACCUGACGCUGAGGCGCGAAGGCGCGGGGAGCGAACGGG